UCCUUCGUGGUGUAGUGAUCAACACGCUCGAUUAUUAUUCGAGAGGCUCGUGGUUCGAGUCUCGGCGAGGGCA
RNAcentral lists this transfer RNA (73 nucleotides) under Stegodyphus mimosarum. It matches the Rfam family "tRNA". From Rfam's summary of the family: Transfer RNA (tRNA) molecules are approximately 80 nucleotides in length. Their secondary structure includes four short double-helical elements and three loops (D, anti-codon, and T loops). Lineage: Eukaryota; Metazoa; Arthropoda; Arachnida; Araneae; Eresidae. The record is from Rfam by way of RNAcentral.